CUUCCCAUUUAUUUGCUGCUAUAAUCUCUCAGUGAUAUGAGCAGUUAUACCAAUGGGAUAAAAUUGGGCUAUUAUAAAUUGAGAUGCAAUCACUUUCAUCUCUUCUGCAUGAUCUAGACAUUG
Sciurus vulgaris (Eurasian red squirrel) is the source of this 123-nucleotide small nucleolar RNA. The record is from Ensembl. Lineage: Eukaryota; Metazoa; Chordata; Mammalia; Rodentia; Sciuridae.